AGGGCUAAACGAGUAGUAGUUGAUUUUCUCUUUUCGCUUUACUCUGAAAUGCUGUUAGUGACCCAAAAUCGCACAAGGCAACCACAAUACAGACCCCGAUCGUUUUUGGCAACAAUCGAUUUUAGAAACAUCCGAUUUUGGCACAUGUCCCUAAAUCAAACAAAUAACAGAAACAAUAUAACCUUAUAGUUUUCGCUUUAAUAGGAUCAACACAAUUUAGACAUAUUAGCAUGAUAGACAUAAUACAAUAACAUAAAUAGCAAAUAUGGCAAAAAACAAAAACUAUCGACAAAACACGAAAAGUGCUAAAUGCACCAAAAACAUGACAAAAAAGGUAGUUCUAAGUAAAAACGAAGUUGGGAAAAAAAUCGUUCGAUUUUGACAACACAAAAUGUUCGAGCGGGUUGCCAAAAGCAAUCAGGGUCUGGUUCUUCUAGUUUGUUCCUUUCAACUAAUACCAAUAUUGUAAAGCUUUCGUGCGGUUUUUAGUCAUUUGCAGAAUUUUAAAGGAAGCCGCCAUCUUGGAUUUCAUGAUGUCGUUUGAUAGAAAACUUCGACUUCUACUCGUUUGGUCCUUUCACACAAUGCCUAUAUUGUGUUAGUUUCAUGCGAUUUUCAGUGUUUAACAGCAUUUUAAAGUUCAGUGAAAGCCACCAUCUUGGAUUUCGAGAUGCACCUGAUAGCGAAAUUUGACUUCUUCUAGGUUAGCCCUUUUAGUCAAUAUCCAUAUUGUGAGAAUUUCAUGCGAUUUUUAGUUAUUUACAGCAUUUUAAGGUUCAGCGAAAGUCGCCAUCUUGGAUUUCAAGAUGAUCUGAUAGAGAAAUUCCACUUAAUCUGAUUAAGCCAUUUUACCCAAUGACCAUAUUGUGGGAAUUUCUAGUGACUUUCAAUGAUUUCAAUAAUUUUAUAGUUCAGUAGAAGCCGCAAUCUUGGAUUUCAAGAUGACACCUGAUAGCGACAUUUGUAUUCUACUCGUUGAUUCUUUUCAACUUAUACCCAUAUUGUGGGAGUUUCAUGUGAUUUUCAGUGAUUAACAGCAUUUUAAAGCUCAGUGGAAGCCGCCAUCUUGGAUUUCAAGUUGACGUCCGAUAGCGAAAUUCGACUUCUUAUAGUUUAGCCCUUUCACCAAAUACCAAUAUGGUGGGCCUUUCAUGCGAUUCUCAGUGACUAACAGCAUUUCAAAGUUCAGCGGAAGACGCCAUCUUGGAUUUUAAGAUGGCGUCGAAAAGAAAAAAAUCGACUUCUUCUAGUUGAGCCCUUUCAACCAAUACCCAUAUAGUGGUUAUUUAAUGCGACUUUUUGUCAUUUACAGCAUUAAAAGUUCAGCGGAUGCCGCCAUCUUGGAUUUCAAGAUGGCGUCUUAUAGCAAAAUUCGACUUCUACUAGUUUAGCCCUUUCACCCAAUACCCAUUUUGUUGGGGUUUCAUGCGAUUUCAAGUCAUUUACAACAUUUUAAAGUUCAGCGGAAGCCGCCAUCUUGAAUUUCAAGAUGGCGUCAGACAACGAAAUUUGACUUCAACUCAUGAUUUAUUCCACGGGUCAUUCACAACCAAUCCCUUUUUAUUCAAAAAGUCUGUCCUCAUUAACUGUACUAAUGAUUAACAACUGAGAAAUGAGGAACUCAUCCUAAGCGUGUAAUUGGUUGGCUUGCGAGAGAAACGUCAAAUCGUAGCUUUUUUGGGGUCAUCAUUAAACCAUAAUAAAACUAUGAAUUGACUCACGCCAUGUUGGUUGCAAAAUCAAAGGGCUCAAAAUGACGGCAUGUUGAUGGAUUCACAAUGCAAGCAUUGGAAAAUAUUUUUCAGGCCUUUUUUCCAUCAAUUCCAUCAUGAUUGACCAUCAGAUUUGACGAGGCGCAUUUAUUUUAAGAUACUAUUUCAUACACAUUUUACCUAAAAUCUUGACUGGCAGUACCAAAGAGGCUCAUAAUAAGGUUAAAACAUUGGUAUUUCGGCUGGUAUUGGUAUUUUGGCAUUCAUCAACCAUUAGAGCAAGUUCACUGGUUGAGAUGGAGUUGGAAAUUUCAAUGGUUUACAUCACAUCACAACACAUUUGCCGUCCACCGGUGUUGGGAAAAUCUGAUAUUCGAACAGUUUCGCGCUGCAAAAUUUGUAUCGUAUAACACUUUUUGGCUGAGGGUGAUAGAAAAACACAAUGUUUUGCAUCACCGAACCGAGUGAUAGAGUCGGCGUUGCAAUACAGUAUUCGUGCAGGAAACGAUUCGGUGCUGCCAUCUUUCUUAUGCUGAAAACCUCAGUUGAGGAGAAAAUAAAGGAAAUUGAGCAGUUUCAGGAUUUUAUUAUUAAGUUAUGUUAUCAUUUUUUUUAAAAAAAGCUGAUCUCUUAAAUAGAUAAGAAUUAGAAAGAAGUUAGUCAAUUAUUUAAAACUUACAGCCAAUUUUUUUCAUACCAUAGCCAAUUGCGUGCGCCAUCACUUAUUUGAGGCGCAGAGAUGCCAGAUAGCUGGGUGGUAAAUAUAUUCAGUUUGUUUGUUUUGUUUGUGUGGUUUUCGGAAUCUGACAAAAUGAAAAUCUACCGCGGUACGGUUCGGGCAAGUUUUACAAGAUUCGGUGUUAGUGUCCCCGGAAAGUGUCCCAGGCCUGGUAUUUGUUCAUACUCCAAAGCAUAAUUUGCCAAUCGUCGACGCUGGAAACAAUCAUCAGCAAGGAUGGAUAAAGAGCUGUGACCCAGUUAAGACCGCUUGAGAAAAAUGAUCGCGGACGGAUUCUCAUUAGAUCAUUGGAACGGGCCGGUCCUGGAGCAACGUUCUUUUCACGUGGAGAUAUCUCAAAUACCUGCCAAUUCUGGAUCGGUAGGCGACUGCGGUGUAGGCACUGGCGGAACACAGUCUAGUCUGGUGGAAGGUUUGAUAUUGCCGAGAAAUGAAACCCAAUCGGCCAGCUGCAACGCGUGAAAGUGGAUGCGUAGGCGCUGGCGCUGAUUCCAUUAUUGUUGAUAAACUGGUGAACGAUGGUUAGCUUCUAGCGAUGGCAAUAAAAACGCGACUGAAGGAAACGAAACUGGACCGUAUUGAGUUGGGUAAUGCCCGAACUGCAGCACCAAGGAUCCCCGUUUUGUUUACGCUUGAUUCCCAGCAAAAAAUCUGCGUUAAAAUGUAUAUUAUGAUAAGGAGGAUGAUAGGAUUGCCUUGAACUGGAACUUUCAAAAGAGGUUUCUGCGAACAUCCGUAGUUUGCGGAAGGUAGUCAUUUUAAUUAUUUAUUUCGAAUUUAAUAUGCAUAUAAUUGUUGUGUCCAACUGGGCACACUGUGUUCUAAAACAGCCUGAGUUGAGGAAGACAAAUAAAUACACAAGAGAUGCGGGCAUUGCCUUGUGAAUCCUCCUACAAACAACAAGUGUUUUUUAUCCUCCCUCUGUGAAUCCGAACGUAUUAGUUGGCGACGGGAAAACUGGUGUUGCACGAAAAGUGAAAGUGGUUCAUUUUAUUCGGUUGUUCGGUGUGCGAUAUUUUUUGUAGCAGCAACUGCUGUUUAAAAAAAAAAAAGGGAAACCUGAAGUAGUUUUUUUCCCUGGUCCAGCCAAUUGGCAGACAUAACCAUCAUCAUCUUCGUCACAGUGUGCUGGAGUAGUAAGUAAUU
Long non-coding RNA from Uranotaenia lowii, 3597 nucleotides. RefSeq lists it as uncharacterized. Lineage: Eukaryota; Metazoa; Arthropoda; Insecta; Diptera; Culicidae. The record is from RefSeq and is a predicted model, not a curated record. The transcript is spliced from 3 exons.